GAUGAACGCUGGCGGCGUGCCUAAUACAUGCAAGUCGAGCGAACAGACGAGGAGCUUGCUCCUCUGACGUUAGCGGCGGACGGGUGAGUAACACGUGGAUAACCUCCCUAUAAGACUGGGAUAACUUCGGGAAACCGGAGCUAAUACCGGAUAAUAUAUUGAACCGCAUGGUUCAAUAGUUAAAGACGGUUUUGCUGUCAUUCAUAGAUGGAUCCGCGCCGCAUUAGCUAGUUGGUAAGGUAACGGCUUACCAAGGCAACGAUGCGUAGCCGACCUGUGAGGGUGGUCGGCGACACUGGAAAUGAGACACGGUCCAAGCACCUACGAGAGACGGCAGUGGGGAAUCUGUCGCAAUGGGGGAAGGCCUGGCGGAGAAACAGCGCGUGAGUGAUGAAGGUCUUCGGGUCGUAAGAGACUGUUAUUAGGGAAGAACGAAUGUGUAAGUAGCUGGGCACGUCUUGGCGGUACCUGGUGAGAAAGCCACGGCUAACUACGGG
RNAcentral lists this ribosomal RNA (497 nucleotides) under uncultured bacterium. RNAcentral's name for it is "partial 16S ribosomal RNA". It matches the Rfam family "Bacterial small subunit ribosomal RNA", at positions 28 to 507 of the family's 1533-position model. The record is from RNAcentral.